Molecule: ribosomal RNA, 408 nt
Filed under: uncultured bacterium
Lineage: Bacteria
Description: partial 16S ribosomal RNA
Rfam family: Bacterial small subunit ribosomal RNA
Source: RNAcentral
GACGAACGCUGGCGGCGUGCUUAACACAUGCAAGUCGAACGAAGUGGCGAACGGGUGAGUAACGCGUAAUCAACCUGCCCUUCAGAGGGGGACAACAGUUGGAAACGACUGCUAAUACCGCAUACUGAAGGAGGGGCUUGCGUUUGUUUAGGUGGUUGGGUGGGUAACGGCCCACCAAGGCGAUGAUCAGUAGCCGGGCUGGGAGGAGGAACGGCCACCUUGGGACUGAGACACGGCCCAGACUCCUACGGGGGGCAGGAGUGGGGAAUCUUUCGCAAUGGACGAAAGUCUGACGGGGCAACGCCGCGGGAGUGAUGACGGCCUUCGGGUUGGAAAGCUCUGUUAAUCGGGACGCGGUACCGGAAUAGAAAGCCACGGCUAACUACGUGCCAGCAGCCGCGGUAAUAC